This is a long non-coding RNA of Rosa rugosa (rugosa rose), 1074 nucleotides long. RefSeq lists it as uncharacterized. The transcript has 3 exons. The record is from RefSeq and is a predicted model, not a curated record. NCBI's taxonomy places the organism in Eukaryota, Viridiplantae, Streptophyta, Magnoliopsida, Rosales, Rosaceae.
GGGGGACGUUGUGAAGCUAACCCAGGUCAUGGAGAAAGGCUUCGAGAUUGAUCAGAUCGAACCGCUGGAGAAUUAUCCUACGGUUCUAAUUUUCACAACAGGAUCUGGAAUCAGGUUUGUUGCCAUUCAAUUGAUUUUGGAUUCACUAAUUUUGAGGCAAUAGAAUGAAUUCGAUUGUUAACAUGUUUCAAUUUCUGUUCUGGAGUCCGAUCAGGUCUUUGAUUGAAUUAGGGUUUAAUGUUGAUGAGGGAUUCAAAGUGAAGCUCUUCUAUGGGGCCAGAAACCUUGAAAGAAUGGCUUAUCAGGUCUGUAAUAAUGUUGUUCUUGUUCAUUUUCAUGUGUUUUCUAGGAUUGUAUUUUCUUUUUCGAUUUGUGACUACUUUUGUUUGAUUGAUGUCUGCAAUGUGCCUUUUGCUUUAUUUUGGUUCUAACUACAUAUUGGUUUGAAUGGGCGUGGAAUUCUUCUAGAGAAACUAAUCUGGAAACCAACCAAAUCCGAGAGCUUUGGUACUUCAAAAAUUUUAGAUAUUAUUUUAAUUAAGUUUGCAUAAAUUUUGAAUUGGGGAUUUAAGUUUUGGGUUGAGAAAAAGUUCAUGGUCAUUGAUGUGAAUGAAUUGAGACACAUAUUGAGGAGCAGCACGAAUCCAUUAUCAGAGAAACAAAAGUAAAUCUACUCACCGAACUUAUGAAUCCAUUAACAGAUAUUGAGGAGCAGCACGAAUUGUUGCAAGGUUAGGUUUCCCAGUUGAAUGCUGAGAUUGCAGACUUCAAUGAAGCAAGAGAAAAGGAGUUGCCUCUUCUUCAAGAGGUAGAUGCCAAAGUUAAAGAAUUGCGCCAAACCAUUGAAGGCGUUAACAACGACCAAGUUAAAGUCAGAACUUCUCUUAAGAAGUUGAAGGAGAAGAGUGGAGAAAUCGACAAAGAGGAGAAGGGAUUUGUAGAUGCAAAAUGAGUUCAACGUACUGGUGGUCAGAAGUUGGCUUUGCACGAUUCUGUAUGAGUGGUGGGUUGUUUCUUUUUCUGCAAUCUGUAUCUAGAAUUGUAAUAAUAUUGGUGCAUAUAUAUUUUAGUCAA